Molecule: long non-coding RNA, 230 nt
Organism: Eurytemora carolleeae
Lineage: Eukaryota; Metazoa; Arthropoda; Copepoda; Calanoida; Temoridae
Exons: 3
Source: RefSeq, a predicted model, not a curated record
CAAUUGUAAAGUUGUCUAAUAUGUUAUAUGUACACAGUUUCCUAUAAAGUUACAUUGUAUAAGUACACUAUAUAGUUAACAGAUAAAAAUGGAACCCAAGCACUGAACUACAAACGGUCUACACACUUAAAUAAAACUAGCUACAGAAUAUGGGAGAGAUGGAGGAGAAAGGAGAAGAUGGAGAUGUAGGAAACGGAGAUACAGGAGAUGCAGAACAGUUUGUAUGUGCA